GAUGAACGCUGGCGGCGUGCCUAAUACAUGCAAGUCGAGCGAACGGACGAGAAGCUUGCUUCUCUGAUGUUAGCGGCGGACGGGCGAGUAACACGUGGAUAACCUACCUAUAAGACUGGGAUAACUUCGGGAAACCGGAGCUAAUACCGGAUGAUAUUUUGAACCGCAUGGUUCAAAAGUGAAAGACGGUCUUGCUGUCACUUAUAGAUGGAUCCGCGCUGCAUUAGCUAGUUGGUAAGGUAACGGCUUACCAAGGCAACGAUGCAUAGCCGACCUGAGAGGGUGAUCGGCCACACUGGAACUGAGACACGGUCCAGACUCCUACGGGAGGCAGCAAUAGGGAAUCUUCCGCAAUGGGCGAAAGCCUGACGGAGCAACGCCGCGUGAGUGAUGAAGGUCUUCGGAUCGUAAAACUCUGUUAUUAGGGAAGAACAUAUGUGUAAGUAACUGUGCACAUCUUGACGGUACCUAAUCAGAAAGCCACGGCUAACUACGUG
Molecule: ribosomal RNA, 497 nt
Filed under: uncultured bacterium
Lineage: Bacteria
Description: partial 16S ribosomal RNA
Rfam family: Bacterial small subunit ribosomal RNA
Source: RNAcentral